This is a small nucleolar RNA of Arvicanthis niloticus (Nile rat), 129 nucleotides long. RefSeq annotates it as small nucleolar RNA SNORA17. The record is from RefSeq and is a predicted model, not a curated record. NCBI's taxonomy places the organism in Eukaryota, Metazoa, Chordata, Mammalia, Rodentia, Muridae.
UCUGCCUUUAGAAGUGCUGCAGGCGUGGCUGCUGUGUCACAUAUGUGUCAGUAGGUGGCAGAGAGGAGAGAGGCUAUGUCUAUGAUCAGUGUUCUGACCUUUGAACAUUUGAAUUAGUAGCCUAAUAGU